Molecule: ribosomal RNA, 437 nt
Filed under: uncultured Oscillospiraceae bacterium
Lineage: Bacteria; Bacillati; Bacillota; Clostridia; Eubacteriales; Oscillospiraceae
Description: partial 16S ribosomal RNA
Rfam family: Bacterial small subunit ribosomal RNA
Source: RNAcentral
ACGGGAGGCAGCAGUGAGGGAUAUUGCACAAUGGGCGCAAGCCUGAUGCAGCAACGCCGCGUGAGGGAAGACGGUCUUCGGAUUGUAAACCUUUGUCUUUGGUGAAGAAUAAAGUGACGGUAGCCGAGGAGGAAGCCACGGCUAACUACGUGCCAGCAGCCGCGGUAAUACGUAGGUGGCAAGCGUUGUCCGGAUUUACUGGGUGUAAAGGGAGCGCAGGCGGGAUGACAAGUCAGCUGUGAAAUGUGUGGGCUUAACCCAUAAACUGCAGUUGAAACUGUUGUUCUUGAGUGGAGUAGAGGCAAGCGGAAUUCCGAGUGUAGCGGUGAAAUGCGUAGAUAUUCGGAGGAACACCAGUGGCGAAGGCGGCUUGCUGGGCUCUAACUGACGCUGAGGCUCGAAAGUGUGGGGAGCAAACAGGAUUAGAUACCCUGGUA